RNAcentral lists this ribosomal RNA (433 nucleotides) under uncultured bacterium. RNAcentral describes it as "partial 16S ribosomal RNA". It matches the Rfam family "Bacterial small subunit ribosomal RNA", at positions 29 to 507 of the family's 1533-position model. The record is from RNAcentral.
AACGAACGCUGGCGGCAUGCCUAACACAUGCAAGUCGAACGAGACCUUCGGGUCGAGUGGCGCACGGGUGCGUAACGCGUGGGAACCUGCCCCUAGGUUCGGAAUAACUCCCAGAAUGGGGUGCUAAUACCGGAUAAUGUCUUCGGACCAAAGAUUUAUCGCCUUUGGAUGGGCCCGCGUUGGAUUAGCUAGUUGGUAGGGUAAAAGCCUACCAAGGCGACGAUCCAUAGCUGGUCUGAGAGGAUGAUCAGCCACACUGGGACUGAGACACGGCCCAGACUCCUACGGGAGGCAGCAGUGGGGAAUAUUGGACAAUGGGCGAAAGCCUGAUCCAGCAAUGCCGCGUGAGUGAUGAAGGCCUUAGGGUUGUAAAGCUCUUUUAUCCGGGAUGAUAAUGACAGUACCGUGGGAAUAAGCGCCGGCUAACUCCGUG